AAAUGUUAUUUAAAUUCUUAUUUUAUUUUGUUUGAUCUUUUUAUCAUUGGGUGUUGAAAGAGUCUCCAUCAACCUCCUUCACGAUCGUGCUCGCAGGAGGAGGAAUUUCGAUCUUACCUUGGGGCGUUAUUUUCGGUUAAUCCCGCACGUAAGGACGGGAAUACGUCUUAGGGUAGUGCCUCGCACGCUUCCGGAUCAAUCAAAUUUUUAUUUGGAUUUUAGCGUUUAUUGGUAAGUCUGAUUUUAUCUUUAUUAUAAAAUUAAUU
RNAcentral lists this long non-coding RNA (266 nucleotides) under Ananas comosus (pineapple). RNAcentral's name for it is "long non-coding RNA (ACOM_LNC034613)". The record is from RNAcentral. Lineage: Eukaryota; Viridiplantae; Streptophyta; Magnoliopsida; Poales; Bromeliaceae.